CGUCAGGACACCUCUCCCUAACGAGAGGCUUCUAUCUGGAAGGGUAGCCCCA
This is a non-coding RNA of Rhizobium sp. 63-7, 52 nucleotides long. The record is from Rfam. Lineage: Bacteria; Pseudomonadati; Pseudomonadota; Alphaproteobacteria; Hyphomicrobiales; Rhizobiaceae.